AGUUUGUGCCUGAGGAAUUCAGGCAAGGACAUAUUGUCUUUGCUCUGCAGUGUUUGGGGCUCAGCUGGAAGACCUGAAGGCUGGGGCCUGGAAUCAUCGGGAGGCUCACCUGCUCAUGCCUGGUGGCUAUUCUGGCUGUGCCUGGGGACCUCUUUGCCACUCCACAAAGGCCUACUCCAUUUGGUCUCCCAUAUCGGAACCAGCAGUGCGCGUCUCCCAGAAUCUGAGGAGGCAUAACCCCUAACAUCUAGUUAACACGUGGCCCAGAAGGAUGGUCA
Molecule: long non-coding RNA, 278 nt
Filed under: Mustela putorius furo (domestic ferret)
Lineage: Eukaryota; Metazoa; Chordata; Mammalia; Carnivora; Mustelidae
Description: lncRNA (ENSMPUG00000026908.1)
Source: RNAcentral